CGUAGGGUAUUGCAGUGGUAGCAAGCGAGGGUCAUAUCCUCGAAGUCGCAGGUUCGAGUCCUGCCCCUACAACCA
This 75-nucleotide transfer RNA is filed under the name Agathobaculum butyriciproducens. RNAcentral's name for it is "tRNA-Met". It matches the Rfam family "tRNA". From Rfam's summary of the family: Transfer RNA (tRNA) molecules are approximately 80 nucleotides in length. Their secondary structure includes four short double-helical elements and three loops (D, anti-codon, and T loops). The record is from RNAcentral. Lineage: Bacteria; Bacillati; Bacillota; Clostridia; Eubacteriales; Butyricicoccaceae.